Molecule: ribosomal RNA, 253 nt
Filed under: uncultured bacterium
Lineage: Bacteria
Description: partial 16S ribosomal RNA
Rfam family: Bacterial small subunit ribosomal RNA
Source: RNAcentral
UACGGAGGGUGCAAGCGUUGUUCGGAAUUACUGGGCGUAAAGCGCACGUAGGCGGGUUCGCAAGUCGAUUGUGAAAUCCCCGGGCUCAAUCCGGGAAUUGCAGUCGAAACUGCGAGUCUUGAAUACCUGAGAGGGUGACGGAAUUCCUGGUGUAGAAGUGAAAUUCGUAGAUAUCAGGAGGAACACCGGAGGCGAAGGCGGUUGCCUGGCAGUGUAUUGACGCUGAGGUGCGAAAGCGUGGGGAGCAAACAGG